Molecule: non-coding RNA, 1143 nt
Organism: Schizosaccharomyces pombe (fission yeast)
Lineage: Eukaryota; Fungi; Ascomycota; Schizosaccharomycetes; Schizosaccharomycetales; Schizosaccharomycetaceae
Source: the annotation of a GenBank genome assembly
AUACUUAAGCGGUUCAGGAUCUAUUUUAUUAGCCAUUGUAGGCACAUAAAAAACCGGUCUUCCCAUGCAAGCGUUUAUCGCGGAGCAUUCUUCUUCAGUAGAAAAACGGACAAUAUAAUAUGGACUAGAUACGGGACCAAAUGUCUCAUGAAUAUAGCCUAUAAUACUUCUGUCUUCAAAACAUAAAACCGUUUUUUCAUCAAAAACAAUCUUUUCAUCGUCGAUAUCACUUUUCACCACUACCUCUCGCUUCAAGACUUGUAUAAUUUUUCCCAAUGGUUCUAUUAACGAAUUAGGCUGAAGUACUAUUUCUGGCUUCUCGUAAAUUUGUUCCGGUAACUCAUUCACCGUUUUGGGAGGAGUACUAGGAGCCAUCGAUUCCGCAUCAGACUUUUCCUCUGCUUUCUCUUCUUCUACAUCAGUUUCGGAAAAAGAAGUAUUACUCUCUGAAUCUGAAGAUGAGUCUGAACUUAAAUCAGCAGACGAUUUACCAAUAGAAGAGUUACUAUGCGUAACCUCCGCAAUUUCAUCAGCGAUUUUUACAUUGGAUUUCUCGGAUGAAUUAGUAGCUGGAAUGCCAACUUCUUCGUUGCUAAUGAACUCCUCUUUUGGCAUGAGCAAACCUGAUGAUGGAACAACACAAUCCUUUGGGUUAGCCAAUGCAACAUCCAAUAAGUCGAUUUUGUUCUCAUCUUGAUAGUUUUCCUUGUGUUGGUUUAUAUCUUCUGUUGAAGAAAAUAAAAUUUCAUUAUCUUUUUGCUUAAUUUCGCCAGAAUUCGCUGAAGAAAUAUUCUGAAAGUUAACUAUGUUCGGUAGAUUAUUUUCAGUAUUAGUAUUCAAGUUGUUUUUAUCGAUUGGGUCGCCCUGUGGGGUAUUGAUAUUAUCGAUAGAUAAAUUUGAAGGAAUUUGAUCUUCUUUUACAAAAUUUGAUGAACUUGCGUUUGUAGACAGUUGCUUCGAUUUUUCAACUUUCGAUUCAUCAUCAUAAAUCAACGAAAGCCCUGGUAUUUUACAAGGGAGAUGCGGAUACAUAAAAACGCCUUUCGAAAAAGUUUUCGGUGCUUUCAAUUACGGGAUUUGGCAGAAUAUACUGAGACUAAGUUAGCAGGACGUAAAUAAUAAAAUUUGAUUUAUAUACAAUAA